This 6304-nucleotide long non-coding RNA is filed under the name Gossypium barbadense (sea-island cotton). RNAcentral describes it as "long non-coding RNA (GBAR_LNC002221)". Lineage: Eukaryota; Viridiplantae; Streptophyta; Magnoliopsida; Malvales; Malvaceae. The record is from RNAcentral.
AAUUUCAAGGGUUCUCCAUAGCUAGGGUUUGUUUCAAGCUUCCAAGCUCCAUAAGCAAGGAAAACUGAAAUUCGGGCUAAAAUGGGGAAAAUACCAAGUUGUGGACGAAAUGGUAAAAGUAGCCAUUUUCGCAUACGAGGUAAGUUCAUGUGUAAAUAAUGUACCAUAAUUGUUAUUUUUAAGUUAUUGAUGUUAAUUAUAUGAUAUGCUGAUUUUUUUUUAUCGUGAAAUAUUAUGCUUUGUGGUUAAUGUUGAGUAAUAUACAAAUUAUGUUUACUACUUGAUAAAUAUCAAUUGCUACCGAGUAUCGGUUCCGUUAUUUCGUGGAAGACGGCAAAGAUGUGAGAUCGAGGAAAAAAUCCCGUUUGAACCUUAGGAAUAGAUUAGGAUACAAGUGCCAUGUCACUAGGAUGGUUGAGCAUCCGAACUCGUUGAGUUGAGUCUGAGUUCACUUAUGGAUGCGAAUGUCCGAACUCGUUGAGUUGAGUCCGAGUUCGAGAGAUGUAAAUAGGCAUCCGAGCUCGUUGAGUUGAGUCUGAGUUCACUUAUGGAUGCGAACGCCCGAGCUCGUUGAGUUGAGUCCGAGUUCACUUAUGGGCGGGUUACAUGGUAGCUUGGCUACAAAUGUGGUACUUAUGUGCAAACUUUCCAUGUAUCCGAAUUAUAUUCCGAUGUGUUCAACGGGUAAAGUUCUACUAAAAUGGAGGAAUACUCAAGUUGAAAGGGGCGUAUUGGUAAGUGUUGUGAAAUGGAUACUUUGAACAGGUAUGUACUUAACCCUCGGGUUGAAAAAUCGAUAUAACAACAAUAUGGUAAGAUGAUAAAUGAAAAUGUGAUAUGAAUGUCUUGGUGAUGAUUAUGCAAAUGAUGUUUUAUGUUUGCUUAUAUGGUUAUGUUACUUGCUAUUUGCAUGUGAACUUAUUAAGCAUUUAUGCUUACUCCCUCCUUUUCAUUCCUUGUAGUUUUGACAAGCUAGCUCGGAAAUCGGGAACGGUCGGAGGCUCGCUCACACUAUCCGUAUACCAUCUUGGCAUAAUGGCUUGUAUAUUUUGAGUAUGGCAUGUAUAGCAUUAUAAUCAUUUUGUAUAUAUGGUCUUAUGAUAUGGUUAUUGAGUGGUAUGGAAAUGCUUGGUAAUGAUUAGCCAUUGGAAUGGCUAAUCAUGAUCAUAUUUGGUGUUAUGUAUGUCAAAUUGCUAGCUAAUCCAUGGAAACCAUGAAAUAGGUAAAAUUUACCAUAAAAUAGAUUCAGACAGCAGUAGUGACGUGAAUUUGAAAAAUCACUAAAAAUAGUAGAAAUGGAAUUAAAUAAUGAAUAAGUUAUGGAAUCGAAUCUUGAUGAGUCUAUUUUCAUAUGGAAGAAGCAAAACAGGUAUAUGAGCUAUAUUUUAUGAGAUGUUUAAUUUUUUGUGAAACAGGGCCAGAGCGAUUUCUGGAUCCCCUGUUCUGACUUUUAAAAUUCACCAUAAAUUUUACAAAGAUAAUUAGAAGUCAUGAUUUAUAUGUACAGAUUCCUUAUUGAGUCUAUUUUUAUUAGAGACAAACGGCAUAGUCAUUCAAGCUCUGUACAAAGAGAUAUCUGAUUCGUAAUACACAGUGGUCAGAGUAGUCGAACCCUGAAACAGGGGAGACUUUAACUAAUAAACUGUACUAAUUGGCCUGAUCAAAAAUUCUAUAAAAAAAUAGUAGAUAUAUAUAUGAGUCUAGUUUCAGUAAAAAUUUACGGAAUUGUAUUUCGAGUUUCGGAACUUGAGAUAUGAUUUUUAAAGCGACUGUGAUGCAGUUAGCCAGCUUGUCUGGAAAUUUUAAAAUGAAUUGUAUGAGCUGUUUAAGUAAUGAAUUAAGUCCGUUAAAACCUCGUGUUCGACUCCGGCAACGGUCUCAGGUAUGGGACGUUACAUUUAGUGGUAUCAGAGCAGGUUUAGUCGGUUCUUGGACUAACCCAGCAUGUGUUAAAGUUUAGCUAUACAUGCCACUGAUUUGUGAUAGUGUGAUGUCUUCCGACGCGUAUGAGUACCGUCUUAUUUAGACAGGGUACUCUCCUACCGUGCUGUGCUGACCAUGUUCAAUGUUAUGUGAAGGUAUUUGAGUAAAAUUAUGAUUAUGAUAAGUCUCGGUUCAGAAAAGUAUGAAUAAAGGUUUAUGAUACAUAUGUGAUAAUAUGUGAGAUGAAAGUUCAUGUUGUGAUAAAUAUUCAUAUUUGCUUAAUGCUCAUAUGAUGUAGUGUAUGUGGCUUACUUGAUAAGAUGAACGGAAUAAAUAGAAAGUAGUAGAGGUAUGAAUAAAGGUCAUAAUAUUAUGAUACGAGUGAAAAUGUCCUUGUCUUGAUUUGGACGUCGAAUGUUGAUAAAUGUUAAUGAUAUAUAAUUUUUAUGAGAUAAAGGAUUAUAAUGAAAUGAACUUAUCUAUGUUAAAUUGUUGGACUGAAUUAUAUGAUUGUAAUGAUAUGUACAUGAUGAUGCACGAAAUGAAAGUUGUGAUUGUGAUGCAAAUAUCUAUGUUUGUUUGGCCUUAUAUAAUGUCAUGAGCAUGAAUUAAUUUAAUUAAAUGAAUGGAUAAGUAAAGCUGUCUAGAAAACAUAGAAUGUAUGCAUAAGUAUAUUGUCUAAAUUGGACAAUAGGAAAAUUGGUGUAAGCCAACAUGAAUAAAUGACAUGAUUUUGAUGAUGUUACUAUGAUGAUGGAAGUUGUGUCAUAUGUGUAUGUAUAAGAAAGUCGAGUCAGAGGUCCUACAACCCCUCCCCCUUACCGAAGUGGUACUUAUAAUGGAAUUUCAUGAGAUUUGUAUUGAAUAAGUUUUCGGUUGAGAACCCAAAGAGUACAGUGAUAGAAUAAUUAUAAGUAUGAUUAGAGAUUGAAAAUGAGCUGAUAAGUAAAGUCAGAGCAAGUAAAGUAUCGGAUUGACGUAAAGAUUAUUGGAGUUAUGCACUGUCCCAGUUGGAAAAGGAAUUCUCCUUGGUAAACCGAAUUACUCAGGUGUAAGGUUGAGAAAAGUGUAAAUCGAAAUUUAUUCAGAAUUGGCCUUCUUUAGUGAAUGGUUUAAUAUGAAAUUUGUGACGGCAAAACUAGUUGGGGAAAUGAUAAUUGAAAUGUGAACUAUCUGAGUGUGACAGUUAUGACUGGACAGAUUUAGCAGUCUCUUUUGAGAUGUUCUAUGUGUUUACCCGUUCUCAAAAAUAUUUCUAUGGCUAUUGAUCUUCUGAAGAAAUUCUUGUUAUAUGGGAAUGUCUUCUAAUUCCGGUGUUGGAUGAAAGCAUUGGUAGUCUGACUAGUUUAUAAUUUAUAUUGCUCUAUUUCAUCGGGUAUUCUAUUUCAUUUCGUCUUAUAAGAAUUGAUGAGAGAAUACGUAUGAUAUUAUGAUUCUGUUUCUUCUACUUGAUGCUUCAUCUGAUAUAUAUGUAUGGGAAGAUAUAUUGAUCUUGUUAUAUUUGAUUUCAGUGGGAUUAAAUGAUGUUUUCUUCUGGACUUUCUUUCUUUGAAGAAUUAUCGGGGUAUUCCGUAUUUUCUCUAUGAGUUUGGUUUUCGAUUCUCCGGCAUAGUAUCGUAUCUUGGGUUUCUUUAUCCUGGAUCUCUUUAUUCUGGAUUUCUUUAUUCUGUGUUUCUCUAUCUUGGAUUUCUUUAUUCGAUUUUCUUGUUAUCUUUGUUCCAUAAUUUGUCAAUUACGACUCAUGUUCGAAGUGGGUUCUUCAACUCGUGAUAAUCAUGUAAAAUAUGACUAUACUUCUAAUUUGAUCUUAGUAAUGUGGUGAUUUUAGUAUUGGGAUUUUUUCUAAUUUCUAUGUAAGGAUUUGACAUCAAUAAAGGCAUAGGUGAUAAAAGUACGAGUUUCAGUCGGUAUGGUAAAUUAUUUAUUUGAAAGAUUUCAUGUGACAAUUAUGUCAAGAUUAUUUUUCCCAAGUCUGAUAAUAGAAUUUCAUUUUGUACGGAUAAAAGAGUAAAUAGUUUGAACGAGAAGUGUAUAUUUAUUAGAAAAGAGUUGGAUAUUAGUUUAAGUCACUACGAAUGAUAAGGUUUCCAUCUUGUGAAAGCUGAUAAGUUUAUUACAUGUUGACAGAGUUCGGAUAGAUGAGAAUAUUGGUAACUAAAGCGUCUGAACUAGACUAGUCUACAUUGAGUAAAGACUUCCUGACUUUCAAUAAUGUAUUGUUGUAUGAAUUGUGAUGUGUUUCAAGAUAGUGAGGUAAUGUGAUAGUUUAGAGCAUCUGAUGUUACCUAAAAUCGGAGUUGUUAAAGGGGUUAAAGCCGAGCAUUGGGAUCUAUCAAAAUUAUCCUUUUCAGUGUUGAUAUUGGGAUGGAAAUGAUAAGGAUUAUUCUUGAGGCCAUAUCAGAAUUAUUUCUAUGGCGGAAAGAGGAAAAUGUGAUGUAUCCUAUUGUUAAAUGUUUGGCGAGAUCUAUAAAUCAUAUCUGUAUUGAAUGAAUUCCUACUCAUCAGAUUCAUGGAAUUUCAGGUCUCUUUGAUUGUUGGAUUUCUUGGAAUUCUGGUCUGCAUUAAAUCAAGUUGAGAUCUGAGUUUUAUGUCAUGAUAUCAUGGGAAACUGAGAAGGGUUGAAAGUUUAAGAACAGUUGAGAGUUGAGACUGUAAGCUUUUAGAUCAUAUGAGAAAUUGAAGAGAUGUAUUGGAGGUACAGUCGAAGCGCAAGUUCUUCGGCACCGAAUAUGAGAUUAAAAGUGAAGACCACUUUUCUGGUAAGAUUUUCGGGGACGAAAAUCCCUGAAGGGGGAGAGUUGUAAUAUCCUAAUUUUGGGCCUAGUCGAAAUAGUGGUUUUGUGACCACAAAAUUCGAGAUAGAAAUAAUUAUUUUAUGAUUAUUUUAAGGUCUAUGAUAUGAUUGCAUGAUUGUGUGAAAAUUUCGUGAUGAAAUUCUAUGCCUAAAGUGCUUAAAUUGAAAGUAGGGACUAAAUCGAAUAAGUUGCAAAACUUGCAUUCUAGAAGUUUUUAGUAUGAAAUUGUUUUGGAAUAUUAAUGAGGAGGUCUUAAAUAGCAAUUUGACCAAUUUUAAGUUCAUGGAUAAAAUUAGGACAUGGAAGGAAUUUUGGAAAGUUUAGUAGUAAGGGUAUUUUGGUCAUUUAGUUAUUAAAAUGAAUUAAAACCAAAAUUAAAAGCCAAUUUUUGUCCAUCUUCUUCAUUAGGCCGAAAUUUCAAGGGUUCUCCAUAGCUAGGGUUUGUUUCAAGCUUCCAAGCUCCAUAAGCAAAGAAAACUGAAAUUCGGGCUAAAAUGGGGAAAAUACCAAGUUGUGGACGAAAUGGUAAAAGUAGCCAUUUUCGCAUACGAGGUAAGUUCAUGUGUAAGUAAUGUAGCAUAAUUGUUAUUUUUAAGUUAUUGAUGUUAAUUAUAUGAUAUGCUGAUUUUUUUUAUCGUGAAAUAUUAUGCUUUGUGGUUAAUGUUGAGUAAUAUGCAAAUUAUGUUUACUACUUGAUAAAUAUCAAUUGCUACCGAGUAUCGGUUCCGUUAUUUCGUGGAAGACGGCAAAGAUGUGAGAUCGAGGAAAAAAGCCCGUUUGAACCUUAGGAAUAGAUUAGGAUACAAGUGACAUGCCACUAGGAUGGUUGAGCAUCCGAACUCGUUGAGUUGAGUCCGAGUUCACUUAUGGAUGCGAAUGUCCGAACUCGUUGAGUUGAGUCCGAGUUCGAGAGAUGUAACUAGGCAUCCGAGCUCAUUGAGUUGAGUCCGAGUUCACUUAUGGAUGCGAACGCCCGAGCUUGUUGAGUUGAGUCCGAGUUCACUUAUGGGCGGGUUACAUGGUAGCUUGGCUACAUAUAUGGCACUUAUGUGCAAACUUUCCAUGUAUCCGAAUUAUAUUCCGAUGUGUUCAACGGGUAAAGUUCUACUGAAAUGGAGGAAUACUCAAGAUGAAAGGGACGCAUUGGUAAGUGUUGUGAAAUGGAUACUUUGAACAGGUAUGUACUUAACCCUCGGGUUGAAAAAUCGAUAUAACAACAAUAUGGUAAGAUGAUAAAUGAAAAUGUGAUAUGAAUGUCUUGGUGAUGAUUAUGCAAAUGAUGUUUUAUGUUUGCUUAUAUGGUUAUGUUACUUGCUAUUUGCAUGUGAACUUAUUAAGCAUUUAUGCUUACUCCCUCCUUUUCAUUCCUUGUAGUUUUGACAAGCCAGCUCGGAAAUCGGGAACGGUCGGAGGCUUGCUCACACUAUCCGUAUACCAUCUUGGCAUAAUGGCUUGUAUAUUUUGAGUAUGGCAUGUAUAGCAUUAUAAUCAUUUUGUAUAUAUGGUCUUAUGAUAUGGUUAUUGAGUGGUAUGGAAAUGCUUGGUAAUGAUUAGCCAUUGGAAUGGCUAAUCAUGAUCAUAUUUGG